Molecule: ribosomal RNA, 498 nt
Filed under: uncultured bacterium
Lineage: Bacteria
Description: partial 16S ribosomal RNA
Rfam family: Bacterial small subunit ribosomal RNA
Source: RNAcentral
GACGAACGCUGGCGGCGUGCCUAAUACAUGCAAGUCGAACGAGAGCGACCGGUGCUUGCACUGGUCAAUCUAGUGGCGAACGGGUGAGUAACACGUGGGUAACCUGCCCAUCAGAGGGGGAUAACAUCCGGAAACGGAUGCUAAAACCGCAUAGGUCUUCGAGCCGCAUGGCUUGAAGAGGAAAAGAGGCGCAAGCUUCUGCUGAUGGAUGGACCCGCGGUGCAUUAGCUAGUUGGUGAGGUAACGGCUCACCAAGGCCGUGAUGCAUAGCCGACCUGAGAGGGUGAUCGGCCACAUUGGGACUAAGACACGGCCCAAACUCCUACAGGAGGCAGCAGUAGGGAAUCUUCCGCAAUGGACGCAAGUCUGACGGAGCAACGCCGCGUGAGUGAAGAAGGUUUUCGGAUCGUAAAACUCUGUUGUUAGAGAAGAACAAGUGCUAGAGUAACUGUUAGCGCCUUGACGGUAUCUAACCAGAAAGCCACGGCUAACUACGUG